CUCAGGCAGUUUGGACUGGAUCCUGAAGGCAGGAGGCCACUGCAGGAGUGUAAAGCAGGCAGGGCGACAUGACCAGCUUUGCGUUCUCCAAGUGACUCAUGCUAGGGACAGGGACAGAUGGGAGGAGUGGAGGCAGAGAGCGUGAGGGAGGGCAGUGAGGGGCUACUGCAGAGGUCCAGGAUGGACAGACCGGUGGCUUGGCCUAGCUCGAUGGUGGAGGGGUGAAGAGGGGGGAGAGAUGGAUCCAGGCUGCACUGAGGGGGAAGACUUGGCAGGGCUGGGUUCCCUGGCACUGGGAAGCCAGGCGGAGGGAGGAGCAGGCGUGACUCAGAGCUUUUGGUUUGGGCAGAUGGGUGGAUGGCCGCACCAUUUGCUGAGCUCUGGGGGUGGUGGAAGAGAGUUCUGGUUUGCAUAUGCUGAGGAUGAGGAGGCUGCUGGUGGACCACAGAAUGACGGGCUCAAAGAGGGAGAGCGCAUGUAGGAGCCAGGCAGAAGACUGUUCAAACCUCCCCUCCCACGCUCAGCUGUGUGGCCUUCAUCGGUGACCUGCCUGUCCUUGUUUGGUUUUCUCGUCUGUACCAUGGAAUGGUCAGUGUCAUCCGCCAUUUUUCAGGAGAGGCUUAUGUAACAAGGAAGCAAUGUCUUGGACUAAACGUCACAUGGGUGAUCUUGGGAGCUAAUUCUCCAGCCUCCUAAUGACUGCAGCCCCUGGUAACAGCUGGAUGGCAAGUUCAUGAGACAACCUGAGCUACUUCGAAGUUCUCAAUGCAGAGAUGAGAUAAUAAAUGCAUGUUAUUGUUCCAA
Non-coding RNA from Heterocephalus glaber (naked mole-rat), 804 nucleotides. The record is from RefSeq and is a predicted model, not a curated record. Lineage: Eukaryota; Metazoa; Chordata; Mammalia; Rodentia; Bathyergidae.